GCACCGGCCACCCGUGUCUACCUGACCACGUUGCCUCGGUGGGCCCGCCGCUCCACGUCCCCCGGAUCCUCGGAUUCUACGGGGGGAACAGGGGCGGCCGCCGGGGGUGGCUUCACGGCCACCUCGGGCCCGCGCCCACCGCAGGGCCUCUGGAACUACUCUGCCGAUCAAGUGAACGUCUGAGUCAAAAUGAUUUAAUCAAUCAAAACUUUCAACAACGGAUCUCUUGGUUCCAGCAUCGAUGAAGAACGCAGCGAAAUGCGAUAAGUAAUGUGAAUUGCAGAAUUCCGUGAAUCAUCGAAUCUUUGAACGCACAUUGCGCCCCCUGGUAUUCCGGGGGGCAUGCCUGUCCGAGCGUCAUUGCAACCCUCAAGCCCGGCUUGUGUGAUGGGUGCCCGUCCGCCGUCCCUCCCGCCAACUCUGACGGGGGGAACCCGGCGGACGCGCCCAAAAGGCAGUGGCGGCGCUCUGGUCAAUCCAAUCGCUCAAGUGCAUGGGGCUCUGUCAAAGCACCUGCAGCGAGGACCGGUGCCGGCCUCUCUAGUUAUAUCUUCUCGGUAUAUCUUCUUCUAGGUUGACCUCGGAUCAGGUAGGGAUACCCGCUGAACUUAAGCAUAUCAAUAA
Molecule: unclassified non-coding RNA, 624 nt
Filed under: Helicoarthrosporum mellicola
Lineage: Eukaryota; Fungi; Ascomycota; Eurotiomycetes; Onygenales; Helicoarthrosporaceae
Description: sequence contains 18S rRNA gene, ITS1, 5.8S rRNA gene, ITS2
Rfam family: 5.8S ribosomal RNA (bases 207-360)
Source: RNAcentral